This 478-nucleotide ribosomal RNA is filed under the name uncultured bacterium. RNAcentral's name for it is "partial 16S ribosomal RNA". It matches the Rfam family "Bacterial small subunit ribosomal RNA", at positions 28 to 507 of the family's 1533-position model. The record is from RNAcentral.
GACGAACGCUGGCGGCGUGCUUAACACAUGCAAGUCGAACGGGAUUUCGUAGGCAGAAGCCUCGGCUAAAGAUUACUAAUGAGAGUGGCGAACGGGUGAGUAACGCGUGAGCAACCUGCCUAUGACAGUGGGAUAGCCUCGUGAAACCGGGAUUAAUACCGCAUAAAAUCGUAGAAACACAUGUUUUAACGGUCAAAGAUUUAUCGGUCAUAGAUGGGCUCGCGUCUGAUUAGCUAGUUGGUGAGAUAACAGCCCACCAAGGCGACGAUCAGUAGCCGGUCUGAGAGGAUGAACGGCCACAUUGGAACUGAGACACGGUCCAAACUCCUACGGGAGGCAGCAGUGGGGAAUAUUGCACAAUGGGGGAAACCCUGAUGCAGCGACGCCGCGUGAACGAAGAAGGUAUUCGUAUCGUAAAGUUCUGUCCUAUGGGAAGAUAAUGACAGUACCAUAGAAGAAAGCUCCGGCUAAAUACGUG